Molecule: long non-coding RNA, 336 nt
Organism: Bactrocera neohumeralis
Lineage: Eukaryota; Metazoa; Arthropoda; Insecta; Diptera; Tephritidae
Exons: 2
Source: RefSeq, a predicted model, not a curated record
UUUGUAGAUGAUUUAUUUGAUGCUGUACCGUAUCGCUGAAGCUAAACCACUUUGUUGCCUCUACAACUGCAGUCAAAUUGGGAUCUGGCAUUUUCUGAUAUUAUUACCGUUCGUAAUCACCGCCGCCAUGCACCACUUCCAACACGUUUCUAACGCGUGUACUAGUCGACAUAUCUGUCAUAGUGAUUUCAACAUCCUCCGUAUUAUCAUUGAGUUUGGAUUUCUCCAACUGCUUGCGAGGACGUUGUAUCUAAAAAUUAAAAACAAAAAACAAAUAUAUACAUAUAUACAAUGCAGUUUCUUAUUCUAAUAAAAAAAAACGUAUUUUAACAAGUA